AUCGAGUCAUGUCCGUUGCUUUCUUAGAGUUGAAGACGAAAAAAAAUGGAGCUGCAAACGAAGGUCGCGCAAGCUGUUCACGUGCUAAAUCACGAUAGCCAAUCGUGCAACCGUGUUGCUGCUAAUCAAUGGUUAGUACAGUUUCAACAGACAGAUGUUGCUUGGGAAGUAGCCACGUCCAUCCUGACAUCCAAUUAUCACCAGCAAUUUGCUUGUGACUUUGAAGUCGAAUUUUUUGCCGCUCAGAUUCUCAAGCGAAAGAUACAAAAUGAAGGAAGCUACUUGCAAAUGGGAGCAAAAGAUGCUCUGCUAAAUGCUCUUCUGUUGGCUGCUAAGAGAUUUA
Molecule: unclassified non-coding RNA, 343 nt
Filed under: Hevea brasiliensis (rubber tree)
Lineage: Eukaryota; Viridiplantae; Streptophyta; Magnoliopsida; Malpighiales; Euphorbiaceae
Source: RNAcentral